This 475-nucleotide long non-coding RNA is filed under the name Oryctolagus cuniculus (rabbit). Its description in RNAcentral is "lncRNA (ENSOCUG00000030007.1)". The record is from RNAcentral. Lineage: Eukaryota; Metazoa; Chordata; Mammalia; Lagomorpha; Leporidae.
GAAUAUGAAAGGACCUUACAAUCAAUUAACUGCUGUAGAGAUAUAAAUUCUCUUCAGUUUCAGUGAUUAUAAAAUGAUGGAUUGGAACUUCAUUGUAAAUCCCUAACCUUUGUUCAGACCUAGAAUGCGACUCCUAAGAGUUUUGGGAAGGCCAUGGAAAGAUGAUCAGACAGAAGCCAUGCUUUUCCACUUCUUGAAAUGUCCAAAUAAGGGCGGAGAUGUGGGUGGAGGCGGCAACAGAGAUGCUCUGAGGACUGCGCUUAAAAGUUGUUGAAUUUCCGUUCAUCGGCUUUGGAAUUCUGCUUCAUAUUUCCCAGAUUCCCACCAUCGUCAUCACUGCCUUCAAUGCCAUACGACCAUGGUACAUUUUUGACCCUCCCACUCAACUAAAAUUCCUUGCAAGAACUAGAUCUCCACUUACCUAUCUAAUAUGGUGAAAUGUUAAUACCCGUUUAUUUUUUCUCCUCUUGCAAAU